GAUUUGAAGGUGGAGGGGCCGAGUGCAAGGACCUCAGAGGAGGAUGCAGACCCAGCCAAGACCUUGCUCUCAGCCUGUGAGACCUGUGCAGAGAAGCCAGCUGACUGUACCAGGACUUCUGAGCAAUGAAACUGUGAGGGAGUAGAUGUGAGCUGUUUUCAGCCGAUAGGUUGCUUCUACUAGAAAGAUCUCAUUUGGGAAGAAAUAUCUGAGAACCACUGUCCACAUGGCCAUCAGACCUCAUAUGUAGUACAAUUCUCACCUGACUGAUCAGUGUGUAACUGUGAAGCAGGAUGAUCAAAUGCUUAGAAAGGCCCUUGGUUAUAAUGGACAAAAUAUAACAGCUGCAUCCCUAGGACGCCAUAGUGUGCUGUGCACAGGGAGAAGAUAAGUAAGUAUGAUGUCUUAUGAUCCUUCUGGGAACUUAAAUUCUCAAUAGACGCUCAAGAAUAUCUUUAAUCCAUCUGAUUCUAAAAUAAAACGUCUGCUCCUGGGAUUCUUGGAAGAACCUUCAGCAAGUCCAGCAAAUCUGCCCGAAUCAGGCAUUUAAUCCUGAAAGCUGCUGAUGGAGUAGGACACUACACCCACUUGGAGGUACAUUUCUCACCUCUGUGGGCAGAUUCUAGCUCAAAGUAGAUCUUAGGAGAACAUCCAGUGCUAGCAUCUCCUGAUGCAGAAGAGAUUCAUUUAUUCUGGGAGGUGGUUAUCAGUAUGGGUGGUUGACAUAGGUCAGGACAGCAGCAGAAACCACCAUGGCUGUGUGAACAAGAAUGACAUUCCUGGGUGAUCUUCCCUCCUGACUCACUGUGCAUUGAAGGUAGAUAUAAAAGGCACCUAGAUGUUGCCUUCCUCCACCUUAGGGACUCUCUGUCCAGUGUGCUGUGGGCAAGAGGUCCUUGAACUGGCUCAGAAUCUCUCACCAUCACCACCCAAUGUAACUCGGUGUGGUGGUCAAAGCUAGCACAACUGACUCAAUGAGAAGGGUUCAGAGAAUGAGAGGCUUUAUAUCCAGGCAUGAUCUCUGAAUAAAGCUCUGAAAUAGCCAAAUUAAUGAAAGGACUUUAUAUAUUACCUAGCCUAAAUGAAGAUAUCGAUGUCCAGGAAAACUCUCAAUGGAUAAGAAAAUUCCAGUAACAUUACAGUAAAAUCUUUUCUUUGCUGAAACCGUGUAAGAUGUAAGUUUGUCACAGAGUUAUUUCUUUUUGAAAUCUUCCUAGGUUAUCCCCCUAUGGUCAUGAUUACCUGACUUGAAAUCACAGUAUUUUACACAAAAAUCUUUCCUAUCACAAAAUAGGGUGGAAUAAGUGCUAACACUCCUGACGAGAGUUGGAAAAAUAGACUAAAGCUCCAUAGAUCAGGAAACAUUCUGGGUUACAGGAGUGCUCAGGAAGAGAAUUGCUCGUGUUGACCAUGCAAACCUUUUGUUAUCUGAGUUGUCAUUGUUUUAUUCACUCUAUUGGGAAGGUGACAUUUUAGGCAUCACUACUGUGAUA
Molecule: long non-coding RNA, 1493 nt
Filed under: Equus asinus (donkey)
Lineage: Eukaryota; Metazoa; Chordata; Mammalia; Perissodactyla; Equidae
Description: lncRNA (ENSEASG00005028327.1)
Source: RNAcentral